Molecule: ribosomal RNA, 684 nt
Filed under: uncultured Gemmatimonadota bacterium
Lineage: Bacteria; Pseudomonadati; Gemmatimonadota
Description: uncultured Gemmatimonadetes bacterium partial 16S ribosomal RNA
Rfam family: Bacterial small subunit ribosomal RNA
Source: RNAcentral
CGAUGGGCACUAGGUCCUUGGGGGGAGCGACCCYGUGAGGUCCCGGCGWUAACGCAUUAAGUGCCCCGCSUGGGGAGUACGSCSGCAAGGSWGAAACUCAAMAGGAAUUGACGGGGGCCCGCACAAGCGGUGGAGCAUGUGGUUUAAUUCGACGCAACGCGAAGWACCUUACSUAGGSUUSACAUGGCCGGGAAAGCCGGGGGAAACCUCGGCCCCUCKUCGGAGUCCGGUCACAGGUGCUGCAUAGCUGUYGUCAGCUCGUGUCGUGAGAUGUUGGGUUAAGUCCSGCAACGAGCGCAACCCUUGUCACUAGUUACCAGCGGGUUAUGCCGGGCACUCUAGUGAGACURCCGGUGCCAAACCGGAGGAAGGUGGGGAYGASGUCAAGUCAUCAUGGUCCUUACGUCUAGGGCUACACACGUGCUACAAUGGGYGGGACAACGGGUCGCGAAGCCGCAAGGUGGAGCCAAUCCCCCAAACCCGUCMUCAGUUCGGAUUGUCGUCUGCAACUCGACGGCAUGAAGCUGGAAUCGMUAGUAAUCGCGGAUCAGMUACGCCGCGGUGAAUACGUUCCCGGGCCUUGUACACACCGCCCGUCACGCCAUGGAAGCGGCGAGUGCCCGAAGUCCGUGCCGGAACCCUCACGGGACCAAGCGGCCGAAGGCAAGCGUCGUGACUGGGGCG